CAGUCGCCGCGGUAAUACGGAGGGUGCAAGCGUUAUCCGGAUUUAUUGGGUUUAAAGGGUCCGUAGGCGGACUUAUAAGUCAGUGGUGAAAGCCUGUCGCUUAACGAUAGAACUGCCAUUGAUACUGUAAGUCUUGAGUAUAUUUGAGGUAGCUGGAAUAAGUAGUGUAGCGGUGAAAUGCAUAGAUAUUACUUAGAACACCAAUUGCGAAGGCAGGUUACCAAGAUAUAACUGACGCAGAGGGACGAAAGCGUGGGUAGCGAACAGGAUUAGAUACCCCCGUAGUCCCUGUCUCUUAUAC
RNAcentral lists this ribosomal RNA (301 nucleotides) under uncultured bacterium. Its description in RNAcentral is "partial 16S ribosomal RNA". It matches the Rfam family "Bacterial small subunit ribosomal RNA", at positions 509 to 807 of the family's 1533-position model. The record is from RNAcentral.